Molecule: ribosomal RNA, 497 nt
Filed under: uncultured bacterium
Lineage: Bacteria
Description: partial 16S ribosomal RNA
Rfam family: Bacterial small subunit ribosomal RNA
Source: RNAcentral
GAUGAACGCUGGCGGCGUGCCUAAUACAUGCAAGUCGAGCGAACAGAUGAGGAGCUUGCUCCUCUGACGUUAGCGGCGGACGGGCGAGUAACACGUGGAUAACCUACCUAUAAGACUGGGAUAACUUCGGGAAACCGGAGCUAAUACCGGAUAAUAUAUUGAACCGCAUGGUUCAAUAGUGAAAGACGGUUUUGCUGUCACUUAUAGAUGGAUCCGCGCCGCAUUAGCUAGUUGGUAAGGUAACGGCUUACCAAGGCGACGAUGCGUAGCCGACCUGAGAGGGUGAUCGGCCACACUGGAACUGAGACACGGUCCAGACUCCUACGGGAGGCAGCAGUAGGGAAUCUUCCGCAAAGGGCGAAAGCCUGACGGAGCAACGCCGCGUGAGUGAUGAAGGUCUUCGGAUCGUAAAACUCUGUUAUUAGGGAAGAACAAAUGUGUAAGUAACUAUGCACGUCUUGACGGUACCUAAUCAGAAAGCCACGGCUAACUACGUG